Molecule: long non-coding RNA, 987 nt
Organism: Oryctolagus cuniculus (rabbit)
Lineage: Eukaryota; Metazoa; Chordata; Mammalia; Lagomorpha; Leporidae
Source: RefSeq, a predicted model, not a curated record
ACCCCCGCACCCGCGCGAAGGAGACCCCGCACGCGGCCGGCGCGCCGCACGGCCUGCCGGGAAACGUAGUCCCCUACACCCGGGGGCGGCGGCCCAGCGGCCGUGGUGCUCGGACGCGGCCGUGGCGCUCGGACGUGUCCGCAGCCCGCGCCCUGCCGCCGUGACCUCCUCUCGCCGGCGGCUGGGGACAUGGGCCAAUGUCACGGGGCCGUCUGCGCGCCGCGGGCACUCACCAGGGGAGAAACAAGAAGGCCCGGAGUCUCCCGAGCAGAACUCUAAUCCCUACGAGUGAACCAGCGGGGCCGCUCCCGGGCCUCCCUUCUGCUGUCCUGCCAGAGAACGUGACCAGAAUCCUCAGCCCCACGCUGUGCCCGCCUGAGCCCGAGAGAGCAGCUGAGCAGAGUCACGUCCAGCCACAGGUUGCGCAACUCAUGAACCUGCCUUCCAGCUGAGCAAGGUCCGGCCACUGCUUCUUCUCCCACGACUUCCACAUCCUCACACGGCUCUUCUUCAGUCUUCAAGUUACUUUCAUAAAAAGAAGAGGCGCGAGGAUUUGCAUCUUCCCCGGUCCCUCGCUGCACCCCUCAGCCCGGGCGGUCUCAGCGACAUUGGUAAACCCCAGGGAGCGUGGGGGCGUGUUAAAGGGAACUCUGCACGCUGGCCCACUGGGGAGCGGAGGACGACUGUCCUUACUCCUUAGCUUACUUUCCCGAUGGAGUUUAGGGCUGUCUCACUAGGAAAUAACGUGGAUAAGAUCACAGGUUGAAAUUGCGAUUUUAUUUCAAAAUGAUAAAUAACCGGAGGCAUAGUUCUGACAUGGGCUACUUCUGACAGGCUUGGGAAGUUGGACAGUUCCAGGAGGACUCCAGUCAGACCCAGGAUGACACCAGCCGCACCUGAGACUGGCAGAGGCGGCCUCUUUGAUCUUCAGGAGUUCUUAAAAGCUCUCCACCCUACUGUCUGAGUGUCAUAAAAAGUAAAAAGCCA